This 369-nucleotide long non-coding RNA is filed under the name Actinidia chinensis (golden kiwifruit). RNAcentral's name for it is "long non-coding RNA (ACHI_LNC004438)". The record is from RNAcentral. Lineage: Eukaryota; Viridiplantae; Streptophyta; Magnoliopsida; Ericales; Actinidiaceae.
UUUUACUGACAUAUAUGCUCUCAUUUUUUUAAUUUUUUUUUUGGGGGUAGUCAUUUAUGCUCUCAUUGAUGGGGGUACCAUGUAAUCUACUUAUACUAUGAUAAAUAAAUUCCAAUCACCAAAAUAGGAGGGCUCAGGCUGUCCAAACCAUGUGGAUUGUCAUUUAACACACACUACAAUUGCUUUCUGUUCUGGUAGCUCCAUGGGGGUCUAUAGCUAUAUGUUAAAUGCCUCUAAUUGAUUCCUACAUUUCCUAUCAAAUCCUAAAAACCUCUCUCCUAUGUGAUAUGUCCCACUCUAAUAAUUAAACAAAGAAAAAGUAACCAUACCUUUUCCCACUUUACUCAAUAGACCCACAUGCAUUUCACU